ACUCCUACGGGAGGCAGCAGUGGGGAAUAUUGGACAAUGGGCGAAAGCCUGAUCCAGCCAUGCCGCGUGAGUGAUGAAGGCCUUAGGGUUGUAAAGCUCUUUCGCCAGGGACGAUAAUGACGGUACCUGGAUAAGAAGCCCCGGCUAACUUCGUGCCAGCAGCCGCGGUAAU
RNAcentral lists this ribosomal RNA (172 nucleotides) under uncultured bacterium. RNAcentral describes it as "partial 16S ribosomal RNA". It matches the Rfam family "Bacterial small subunit ribosomal RNA", at positions 335 to 524 of the family's 1533-position model. The record is from RNAcentral.